CCUACGGGGGGCAGCAGUGGGGAAUAUUGGUCAAUGGGGGCAACCCUGAUCCAGCCAUGCCGCGUGUGUGAAGAAGGCCCUCGGGUUGUAAAGCACUUUCAGUGAGGAAGAACGCCUGGUGGUUAAUACCCAUCAGGAAAGACAUCACUCACAGAAGAAGCACCGGCUAACUCCGUGCCAGCAGCCGCGGUAAUACGGAGGGUGCGAGCGUUAAUCGGAAUUACUGGGCGUAAAGCGCGCGUAGGUGGCUUGAUAAGCCGGUUGUGAAAGCCCCGGGCUCAACCUGGGAACGGCAUCCGGAACUGUCAAGCUAGAGUGCAGGAGAGGAAGGUAGAAUUCCCGGUGUAGCGGUGAAAUGCGUAGAGAUCGGGAGGAAUACCAGUGGCGAAGGCGGCCUUCUGGACUGACACUGACACUGAGGUGCGAAAGCGUGGGUAGCAAACAGGAUUAGAUACCCCGGUAGUC
This 465-nucleotide ribosomal RNA is filed under the name Vreelandella stevensii. RNAcentral's name for it is "partial 16S ribosomal RNA". It matches the Rfam family "Bacterial small subunit ribosomal RNA", at positions 338 to 795 of the family's 1533-position model. Lineage: Bacteria; Pseudomonadati; Pseudomonadota; Gammaproteobacteria; Oceanospirillales; Halomonadaceae. The record is from RNAcentral.